RNAcentral lists this ribosomal RNA (398 nucleotides) under uncultured bacterium. RNAcentral's name for it is "partial 16S ribosomal RNA". It matches the Rfam family "Bacterial small subunit ribosomal RNA", at positions 523 to 918 of the family's 1533-position model. The record is from RNAcentral.
AUACGUAGGGUGCGAGCGUCGUCCGGAAUUACUGGGCGUAAAGAGCUCGUAGGUGGUUUGUCGCGUCGUCUGUGAAAUUCCGGGGCUUAACUCCUGGCGUGCAGGCGAUACGGGCAUAACUUGAGUACUGUAGGGGAGACUGGAAUUCCUGGUGUAGCGGUGAAAUGCGCAGAUAUCAGGAGGAACACCGGUGGCGAAGGCGGGUCUCUGGGCAGUAACUGACGCUGAGGAGCGAAAGCAUGGGUAGCGAACAGGAUUAGAUACCCUGGUAGUCCAUGCCGUAAACGGUGGGCGCUAGGUGUAGGGGUCUUCCACGACUUCUGUGCCGUAGCUAACGCAUUAAGCGCCCCGCCUGGGGAGUACGGCCGCAAGGCUAAAACUCAAAGGAAUUGACGGGG